Molecule: ribosomal RNA, 301 nt
Filed under: uncultured bacterium
Lineage: Bacteria
Description: partial 16S ribosomal RNA
Rfam family: Bacterial small subunit ribosomal RNA
Source: RNAcentral
CAGUAGCCGCGGGAAUACGAAGGGGGCUAGCGUUGCUCGGAAUGACUGGGCGUAAAGGGCGCGUAGGCGGUUCACGCAGUCAGAUGUGAAAUUCCUGGGCUCAACCUGGGGGCUGCAUUAGAUACGCGUGGGCUAGAGUGGGGAAGAGGGUCGUGGAAUUCCCAGUGUAGAGGUGAAAUUCGUAGAUAUUGGGAAGAACACCGGUGGCGAAGGCGGCGACCUGGUCCUUGACUGACGCUGAGGCGCGAAAGCGUGGGGAGCAAACAGGAUUAGAGACCCGCGUAGUCCCUGUCUCUUAUAA